Molecule: ribosomal RNA, 468 nt
Filed under: uncultured bacterium
Lineage: Bacteria
Description: partial 16S ribosomal RNA
Rfam family: Bacterial small subunit ribosomal RNA
Source: RNAcentral
GACGAACGCUGGCGGCGUGCUUAACACAUGCAAGUCGAACGGAACUUCCCUGCUUUUUUGGGGUGCUCGAGUGGCGAACGGGUGAGUAACAAGUGAGUAACCUGCCCUUGCCUUUGGUCUAACUUCCGGAAACUGAGGCUAAUACCGGAUAGGAGCUCCUGCUGCCUGGUGGGGGUUGGAUAGUUUCGGCGGUUGGGGAUGUACUCGCGGCUUAUCGGCUUGUUGUUGGGGUAGUGGCUUAGCAUGGCUUUGACGGGUAGCCGGCCUGCUAGGGUGAACGGCCACAUUGGGAUUGAGAUGCGGCCCAGAGUGCGACGGGAGGCAGCAGGGGGGAAUAUUGCACAAUGGGCGGAAGCGUGAUGCAGGAAGGCCGCGGGCGUGAGGACGGCUUUCGGGUGGGAAGACGCUUUCGCUUGUGAUGAAGCGUGAGUGACGGUAAGGGGUAAAGAAGCACCGGCUAACUACGUG